AACUCUUUCCUGAGGUUAUUUUCGUAGUAAUUCUUUGAAUCUCUCCCACGCCUUAUACAAGGACUCGUCAUCCAUUUGUUGGAAGGUAGUGAUCUCAUUCCACAACCU
This 108-nucleotide small nucleolar RNA is filed under the name Gossypium hirsutum (cotton). RNAcentral describes it as "Plant small nucleolar RNA R71". It matches the Rfam family "Plant small nucleolar RNA R71". Rfam says of the family: R71 is a member of the C/D box family of snoRNAs containing the C (UGAUGA) and D (CUGA) box motifs. Multiple nearly identical copies of this snoRNA have been identified in Arabidopsis, and it is thought to function as a 2'-O-ribose methylation guide for 18S ribosomal RNA. Lineage: Eukaryota; Viridiplantae; Streptophyta; Magnoliopsida; Malvales; Malvaceae. The record is from Rfam by way of RNAcentral.